RNAcentral lists this ribosomal RNA (497 nucleotides) under uncultured bacterium. Its description in RNAcentral is "partial 16S ribosomal RNA". It matches the Rfam family "Bacterial small subunit ribosomal RNA", at positions 28 to 507 of the family's 1533-position model. The record is from RNAcentral.
GAUGAACGCUGGCGGCGUGCCUAAUACAUGCAAGUCGAGCGAACAGACGAGGAGCUUGCUCCUCUGACGUUAGCGGCGGACGGGUGAGUAACACGUGGAUAACCUACCUAUAAGACUGGGAUAACUUCGGGAAACCGGAGCUAAUACCGGAUAACAUGUUGAACCGCAUGGUUCAACAGUGAAAGACGGUCUUGCUGUCACUUAUAGAUGGAUCCGCGCCGCAUUAGCUAGUUGGUAAGGUAACGGCUUACCAAGGCAACGAUGCGUAGCCGACCUGAGAGGGUGAUCGGCCACACUGGAACUGAGACACGGUCCAGACUCCUACGGGAGGCAGCAGUAGGGAUUCUUCCGCAAUGGGCGGAAGCCUGACGGAGCAACGCCGCGUGAGUGAUGAAGGUCUUCGGAUCGUAAAACUCUGUUAUUAGGGAAGAACAAAUGUGUAAGUAACUAUGCACGUCUUGACGGUACCUAAUCAGAAAGCCACGGCUAACUACGUG